This 254-nucleotide ribosomal RNA is filed under the name uncultured bacterium. Its description in RNAcentral is "partial 16S ribosomal RNA". It matches the Rfam family "Bacterial small subunit ribosomal RNA", at positions 524 to 776 of the family's 1533-position model. The record is from RNAcentral.
UACGAAGGGAGCUAGCGUUGUUCGGAUUUACUGGGCGUAAAGGGCGCGUAGGCGGUCAGCACAAGUCAGUUGUGAAAUCUCCGGGCUUAACUCGGAAAGGUCAACUGAUACUGUGCGACUAGAGUGCAGAAGGGGCAACUGGAAUUCUCGGUGUAGCGGUGAAAUGCGUAGAUAUCGAGAGGAACACCUGCGGCGAAGGCGGGUUGCUGGGCUGACACUGACGCUGAUGCGCGAAAGCCAGGGGAGCGAACGGG